GUCUAAUCUUAUCUUUCCAUUGUCAAGAGUUGUUUGCAAUUGUCAUUUUUUUCAUACAUGCUUUGUAGCUUGGAAAUUGAGGGGGAGAAAGAUAGGCAUGCUGUCACUUGAUGCUCUACCUUGAGCCAGCUGAUUUAUUUCACGCUUGUUUGUAUGGCCAUGUGGAUGGGUUAAAUUAACUCUGUUCUCGGUGUCAGCUGGUUUUGUAUUUUUAAGGAUAUUCUUUUUUUUUAUUUUUAUUUUCACCUUCUUCCAUUUUCAAGCCAAUAAGAACGUGAAGUUCCAUUUGGUAUAUUUUUG
This 300-nucleotide unclassified non-coding RNA is filed under the name Hevea brasiliensis (rubber tree). The record is from RNAcentral. Lineage: Eukaryota; Viridiplantae; Streptophyta; Magnoliopsida; Malpighiales; Euphorbiaceae.